ACGAGAAGUACGAAUUUACGAAGACAAGCCAGAAUAGGUUGGUGAAGUGCAAAAAAAUAAAUCGAACAAAAAAUUGAAAAAGAAAUUUCAAGUUGUAUUGCAAGUUUCUCAUUGUUUCUGAAGUAUUGAAAAAAAACGAAAUUUCAAAAAAAAAAGAGUGUUGGAAAUUUCCCAAUUCACAAAGAAUAGAUUUUCUGCCCCCAUCUCUUCUACC
Molecule: long non-coding RNA, 214 nt
Filed under: Gossypium raimondii (Peruvian cotton)
Lineage: Eukaryota; Viridiplantae; Streptophyta; Magnoliopsida; Malvales; Malvaceae
Description: long non-coding RNA (GRAI_LNC002156)
Source: RNAcentral